UACGAAGGGCGCUAGCGUUGUUCGGAAUCACUGGGCGUAAAGCGCACUCAGGCGGACCGAUAAGUCGGGGGUGAAAGCCCGGGGCUCAACCUCGGAAUUGCCUUCGAUACUGCCGGUCUCGAGUCCGGGAGAGGUGAGUGGAAUUCCUAGUGUAGAGGUGAAAUUCGUAGAUAAUAGGAAGAACACCAGUGGCGAAGGGGGCUCACGGGCCCGGUACUGACGGUCAGGUGUGAAAGCGUGGGGAGCAAACAGG
This 253-nucleotide ribosomal RNA is filed under the name uncultured bacterium. RNAcentral describes it as "partial 16S ribosomal RNA". It matches the Rfam family "Bacterial small subunit ribosomal RNA", at positions 524 to 776 of the family's 1533-position model. The record is from RNAcentral.